AUGGGGGUCAAAAUGGAUCCAGGUCAGUGCAGUUGUUUGGUGCAUGUGGAAAAUGACUUCUGUGUACAUUAUCCUGUGAUGAAAGAAGAAAUCAACUGCAUAGCACUAUUUUACCUCUUUCCAUCAGGAGUCAAACAGAAAGCUGGGUGCUGUGGCCUGGUUCUGGAUAAAAACUUUCAUGGAGUGAUGGGUGUCCCAUAUGCAGAUGCAUUCCAAAUGUGUAAGAUGACAGGAAACUCAGCAGAUUUUCAGAAGAGGAGGAGAAGCUCAAUACAGGUGUUCUUAAUACUCAUAUCCUGA
This 300-nucleotide long non-coding RNA is filed under the name Cyanistes caeruleus (blue tit). RNAcentral describes it as "lncRNA (ENSCCEG00000009623.1)". Lineage: Eukaryota; Metazoa; Chordata; Aves; Passeriformes; Paridae. The record is from RNAcentral.